UCUUUUUGUAGUUCAUAAGUGUGAUUUUCACACCACUGUGUAAUAUGUGCUUCCCUCAGACCUUGUUAUAAUGUUAGCAUAUUACCCAUCUGAU
This 94-nucleotide small nucleolar RNA is filed under the name Marmota monax (woodchuck). It matches the Rfam family "Small nucleolar RNA U13". Lineage: Eukaryota; Metazoa; Chordata; Mammalia; Rodentia; Sciuridae. The record is from RNAcentral.